ACCCUUUAUUUUUCUUACUUCAUUGAGGAUAAUGUCAAUUAAGUUGGGGAGAGAAUAAUAGAAUAACUAAAAAAAAAUUUAAGUCUUCGAGUAAAUUAGUAUUUAGCAUUUAAGCACCUGAUUAUGCUUAAGAAUCGAGUUAAACCAAGUAUUUUUAUAAAAAAAUUGAUGUACAAACUAAAGAAUUUAUGAGAUAUUGAGGGAUUAAGUAUUAAGAAAAUUCAAUAAAAAAUUAAGUUUAAAAUUUAAAUAAUUUUUUUUGAAUAGUUUUAAAUUUUUCUACCAG
Molecule: long non-coding RNA, 286 nt
Filed under: Elaeis guineensis (African oil palm)
Lineage: Eukaryota; Viridiplantae; Streptophyta; Magnoliopsida; Arecales; Arecaceae
Description: long non-coding RNA (EGUI_LNC042792)
Source: RNAcentral